Nycticebus coucang (slow loris) is the source of this 137-nucleotide small nuclear RNA. RefSeq annotates it as U4 spliceosomal RNA. NCBI's taxonomy places the organism in Eukaryota, Metazoa, Chordata, Mammalia, Primates, Lorisidae. The transcript has a single exon. The record is from RefSeq and is a predicted model, not a curated record.
UGCUUUGUCCAGUGGCAGUUAUCGUAGCCAAUGAGUUUUAUCCAAGGCGUGAUUGGAUAAGUAAAAACUUUUCCCAGUACCUGCCAUGACAACUUAAAAUAUAGUUGGCAUUGGCAAUUUUUGACAGUUUGUACAGA